AUUGAAUGCUGGCGGCAGGCCUAACACAUGCAAGUCGAGCGGCAGCGGGAAGAAGUUUGCUUCUUUGUUGGCGAGCGGCGGAUGCGUGAGUAAUGUCUGGCGAUCUGCCCGGUAGAAGGGAAUAACUACUGGAAACGGUAGUUAAUAAAGCAUAGACGUCGCAAGACCAAAGUGGGGGGGCCUUUGGGCCUAACACCACGGAUGAACCUAGAUAGGAUUAGCUAUUAGGUAAGGUAAUGGCUCACCUACUGCGACGAUCUCUAGCUGGUCUGAGAGGAUGACGAUCCAUACUAAAACUGAGAUACGGUCUACACUCCUAUCGGGAGGCAGCAGUGGAGAAUAUUGCACAAUGGGGGAAACUCCGAUGCAGCCGUGCCGCAUGUGUGAAGAAGGCCAUUAGGGUUGUGAAAGCACUUUCAGCAGGAGGAAGUGCGCUAGCAUUAAUAACGUUAUCGAUUGACGUUACCCGCAGAAAAAGCACCGGCUAACUCCGUGCCAGCAGCUGCGGUAAUACAGAAGAUGCGAGCGUUAAUCGGAAUUACUGGGCGUAAAGCGUACGCAGGCAGACUGUUAAGUCAGAUGUAAAAUCCCUGGGGUGAAACUGGCAGGCUAGAGUCUCGUAAAAGGGCUAGAAUUCCAGGUGUAGCGGUGAAGUGCGUAGAGAUCUGGAGGAAUACUGGGGGCUAAAGCAACCCCCGGAACGAAGACUGACGCUCAGGUACGCAAGUGUGGGGAGCGAACAGGAUUAGAUACGUUGGUAGUCCACACUGUAAACAAUGUCGAUUUAAAGGUUGUGGCCUUGGGCCGUAGCUUUCGGAGCUAACGUGUUAAAUCGACCGCCUGGGGAGUAUGGCCGCAAGGUUGAAACUCAAAUGAAUUGACGGGGGCCCGCACAAGCGGUGGAGCAUGUGGUUUAAUUCGAUGCAACGCGAAGAACCUUAUCCUACUCUUGACAUCCAGAGAACGUGUCAGUGGUGCCUUCGGGAACUCUAAGACAAGUGCUGCAUUGCUGUCGUCAGCUCGUGUUGUGAAAUGUUGGGUUAAGUCCCGCAACGAGCGCAACCCUUAUACUUUGUUGCCAGCGAUUCGGUAGGGAACUCAAAGGAGACUGCCGGUGAUAAACAGGAGGAAGGCAGGGAUGACGUGAAGUCAUCAUGGCCCUUACGAGUAGGACUACAAUGGUGCAUACAAAGAGAAGCGAUCUCGCGAGAGUCAGCGGA
This 1220-nucleotide ribosomal RNA is filed under the name Sodalis-like endosymbiont of Philaenus maghresignus. RNAcentral's name for it is "bacterial SSU rRNA". It matches the Rfam family "Bacterial small subunit ribosomal RNA", at positions 28 to 1271 of the family's 1533-position model. Lineage: Bacteria; Pseudomonadati; Pseudomonadota; Gammaproteobacteria; Enterobacterales; Bruguierivoracaceae. The record is from RNAcentral.